Molecule: transfer RNA, 70 nt
Filed under: Dipodomys ordii (Ord's kangaroo rat)
Lineage: Eukaryota; Metazoa; Chordata; Mammalia; Rodentia; Heteromyidae
Rfam family: tRNA
About the family: Transfer RNA (tRNA) molecules are approximately 80 nucleotides in length. Their secondary structure includes four short double-helical elements and three loops (D, anti-codon, and T loops).
Source: Rfam by way of RNAcentral
GGGAAUGUGGCUUAGUGGUAGAGUGCUUGCCUAGCAUGCAUGAAGACCUGAGUUUGAUUCUUCAGUACCA